GCACAGAUAGCUCAGUCAGUAGAGCAUAAGACUUUUAAUCUAAUGGUCCAGGGUUCAAGUCCUUGUUUGGCA
Molecule: transfer RNA, 72 nt
Filed under: Danionella translucida
Lineage: Eukaryota; Metazoa; Chordata; Actinopteri; Cypriniformes; Danionidae
Also listed under: 1 other name
Rfam family: tRNA
About the family: Transfer RNA (tRNA) molecules are approximately 80 nucleotides in length. Their secondary structure includes four short double-helical elements and three loops (D, anti-codon, and T loops).
Source: Rfam by way of RNAcentral